Molecule: ribosomal RNA, 301 nt
Filed under: uncultured bacterium
Lineage: Bacteria
Description: partial 16S ribosomal RNA
Rfam family: Bacterial small subunit ribosomal RNA
Source: RNAcentral
CAGUAGCCGCGGGAACACGUAGGUGGCAAGCGUUGUCCGGAAUUAUUGGGCGUAAAGGGCUCGCAGGCGGUUUCUUAAGUCUGAUGUGAAAGCCCCCGGCUCAACCGGGGAGGGUCAUUGGAAACUGGGAAACUUGAGUGCAGAAGAGGAGAGUGGAAUUCCACGUGUAGCGGUGAAAUGCGUAGAGAUGCGGAGGAACACCAGUGGCGAAGGCGACUCUCUGGUCUGUAACUGACGCUGAGGAGCGAAAGCGUGGGGAGCGAACAGGAUUAGAUACCCCCGUAGUCCCUGUCUCUUAUAC